This 727-nucleotide long non-coding RNA is filed under the name Olea europaea subsp. europaea. Lineage: Eukaryota; Viridiplantae; Streptophyta; Magnoliopsida; Lamiales; Oleaceae. The record is from RNAcentral.
UAUACACAUUCACUUAAAGAGUGCACAUGGUACUCCAACCUAUAAAUGUUGUGGGACAAAUCAUAUAAGUAGUCCCUUGCUUCCGCUCAUACAUAUCAGUCUGAAGAGGUACAAUGUGCAUAGAAUUUUCAGAAGCAGCAAAACAAUCCUCACUCCAACACAUAUAAUCUAGAAUAAAAAAAUCAUUCGAACUUCUCAUGGACUAAUAACCAGGAUUUAAAAAAAAAUGAUUUAGGGCAAGAAAAUAUGACAUAUUUGGAGGAUCUACUUAUCCAGUACAUUACAAAGAUCAAUAUUACAUUGCAAAAUCAGCAAGCCUCUAUUAAAAAAUUGAAAAUUCAAGUGGGAUAGAUAGUAGUUAGAUUGUCCAACAGAACAUAAGGUACCAUGCCAAGCAAUACAGAAACAAAUCCACGAGAACAUGUGUUAGCUAUCAGAGAUUUAGAGAAUGAUAUGGUGACACGCCAUUAAUUAAAUUUGCUAUUCUUGUAUGAGCUAUGUAUCGUCAGUCCCAUUCCCUCAGAGGCUUCGAAAGCGGUUUAAAGAGGAACAUGUUUAGGUUAUCACAAGGAGUGAAAUUCGAUUGUCAGAAAUCAACAUAAAAAGGAAAGAGACCAAGGAUAAUCAAGUACCUACCAUGGGCAAGGAACAAGUUCGAUCUAAAGAAUCAACAAAAGUCAAUUAAGGAAAAUAUUCAAAGAGUUACAACAAUCGUUCUUUUCAAUUC